AUGUUCCAUCAGACAACUUGGAACCCAGAGAACAGGGAUUAUGCUGUGUUCAGCCCACCUAUUGUCACUGCAUGCUGCAGCCAAGAUGAGAAGGAAUCGGUCCCAUGGAAGGAAUUUCAUGUCUCUCUAGCAGUUCGGCAAGACAAGCUUGAGAAGGAAGCCACAUCAAAACGGGAGGCUCCUGCCACCAUGAGUAUAUUGGGCUGAGGAGCUGGUUUUCACUUGGGGCCUCUCGUGAACUUGAAGUCGGGCUGUGACCGGGGUUGGAGGCAUCUCAAAGGCUGGCUGUUGUCUAAGGCUCCAGCUGAAGCUGAGGAUGGGAAGGUCUAUUCUUGGCCUCGCCAUUGCCACCCGGGCUUCCUCAAAACAAGGCCCUGAGCUUGAAGAGUAAGCACCCUGAGAGAGAACCAAGCUAGAACACCUUUUAUAAACAAGCCUCAGAAAUCACGCGGUGUCCUUAAGCACAGCCCAUAUUCAAGGGUAAGGUCAUUAGGUUCUAACUCUUUAUGUGAGGAGUGCCAAAGAAUACACAGACAUGUGUUUUUUUUUUUUUUUCACUUUA
RNAcentral lists this long non-coding RNA (562 nucleotides) under Cervus hanglu yarkandensis (Yarkand deer). RNAcentral describes it as "lncRNA (ENSCHYG00000018285.1)". Lineage: Eukaryota; Metazoa; Chordata; Mammalia; Artiodactyla; Cervidae. The record is from RNAcentral.